This 523-nucleotide long non-coding RNA is filed under the name Gossypium barbadense (sea-island cotton). RNAcentral describes it as "long non-coding RNA (GBAR_LNC007196)". The record is from RNAcentral. Lineage: Eukaryota; Viridiplantae; Streptophyta; Magnoliopsida; Malvales; Malvaceae.
CUCAUCUUAUCUAAGCAUAGAAUUGUUUUUCACUCCAUGUGGAAGUCGGUAGUUUCCCUUUUAUCUUUGCUAGUACCAUUUAUAUUGUUGGACUUAUCGAACUUGCUUUUCUUCAAUUUCUUAAGUUGGGAUUUGAAUUUUUUUUCUUUAGUACUGCAUAAUCAUGCAAUCUGUAUGAAGUUUUGUGCUAGAAAGGCAGUUAGAUGGUUAUAGUCUUUUCUGUCAAGAAAAUCACGAGAUACAUCCCCUAAGCUAUUUGGCUUAUUUAAAGUGCUUGAACCCUGAUUAGGCUGACAAAUUUCCGCUUUUAUCAAAAACCUUAUUUAUCUGACCUUAGUUCCAGACUUCUAGAAAGAUUUUACUUUAGCUUCAAAGUGGUUUUGUGUUAACUUUACCUAGAUGGUUUUGUGUUAACUUUACCUAGAUACUGAAUACAGGUUCUGGUUGUGGGAGGUGGUGAUGGUGGGGUUCUUGCAGAGAUUUCUCGGCACAGCUCUGUUGACCACAUUGAUAUAUGUGAAAU